Molecule: long non-coding RNA, 1817 nt
Organism: Anser brachyrhynchus (Pink-footed goose)
Lineage: Eukaryota; Metazoa; Chordata; Aves; Anseriformes; Anatidae
Source: Ensembl
CCCCUCUCCGCUCAGCACUAGCAACAAGCUUAUGCAUUCUGAAAUGCUGAUACAAAUACAGCUCCUUGUGCCUCUGGCUUCAUCUUAAGUUAGGUCAAGAAGAAAAUGGAAAGUGCUGCCACUCCCUUAGUACCCUCUUUGCACAUCAGCCCCAUAGUUUAAGGGGAAGAAGAGAAGCUUGGAUGCCAACAACAGAGGAACUUGUUCUUGAGCACUCAGUGCUCUCUUUGAAAAAGAGAAGAAAGCCCGCCCAGCCAGGGUACCCCUCAUGAAAAGAGGCUACAGAGCAGAGGAGAGGAAGAAAAGGAACUUUUUAGUGCAACAGCUGUUCUUGACUCCAUGUGUUGCUACUACCUACCUCGUUUCCCUUUAUCCAGUCCCCCCAGACAGGGUUAACAUCUCUAAUAGCACUUGUUGCAGUGGGAGGAGGUCGCUGUGAGACUCGUUAUCAGCCCGUCUAACCUCGCCUUGUGGGAAUGACAAAAUUCCUGUAUUUCAGAAGACAGCGGUGCUCUGUGCAGUGCCUAGAGAGAUGUUGUGUGAUGCUCUUCAGCCUGGAGAAAGGCUACAGGAGGGCUUUGUUCUCCAGGCGGUGUGGCGGUGAGAGCUGUGCCUGGCGCACAACCGAAGCACCACUGCAGAGAAAUGCAGACACCACGAUAAAGAAGCACAGACACCAGGGUGGCAGGCGAGCCCGAGUGCUGCGCUGCACCCAGGCGAGGACAGGCAGCCAGGGAGCUUGCUGGCCGAAGGGCAGGGCUGUGAACGGGGUGUGCUCAACUAGGGACAUCAGAAAUGGCCCCAGCUGUACAGUGCCAGAUUUCAGCCUCGGUGAUUUUGCAUUUUAAAACACGCAAGAGGGCACGGACAGAGGGAAAAGUAGUCACCAUGCCACUGGGAUGUCACUAGCUGCCCUGGGAAGGAGCUGGGGGAGGGCAGAGGCAUGUGCUGCCCUGCUUCUCCAGCCCGCAGUGUCCUUCUGAAGUUACAAAAUGCCUUCAGGAAGGGCUUCUCCACCUGAAAACUCGUUCACUGUUUUUCCACUCAUAGCAGCUGGCCUAACUGAAAAAAUACUGUCUUUCCCUAACCUCGCUCGUCUGCUCACCCUGCCGACACGCUUGUGCUUUCCCAACAGUGCAGGCUCCAGCUGAGCAGCAGCUGAGACCGUUUGCCCCGCUGUCCUGCGGGAAGGUCGCUGCCGAACCCCCCUCUUCGACUGAGUUUCCAGACUGCGUUAUUUACGGGCAUUCAUCCCCGUGCCAGCAUUGUUUUCCGGGGUGAGGAGCUCUUCUGCCCUGCGGCAGGCGUUUCUAGGAAAGCAAUCCCUUCCCCUCUCUGCAUCUCUCCCAUGGGAUGGACAGGCCAGGCGCUGGCUCUCUGCUUGUGGGGUUGGCUCCCCAUAGCCGGAGCAGCCCCGCGCUGUACCUGCCCUUUCUCAACUUCCCCAGGGUGAGCAGAAGCGAGGUGCUGUGCUAGAUGUGGUCUCACCAGUGCAUCAGUUCUACCAAGCAUUUUAUAUUCCCGUAAGGAGCUCAUGAUGGGAAAAUCUGAGCCAUCACCUGUGUCCAGAUUGCAGACCGUUGAGAAGAUACUCCCCAAGAUGGUCCAGACCUGAGCUCCUGAGGAACUUCACCACUGAUUUCCAGGAGCAGUCCUUGCUCAGCUAUUUCAGUCUCCCCUUUAAAUCGUGCUUUUUGACUCUGCAUGUCCUAACAGUAAACUUGAUUUCUGAAAUUAUGAAACAAUAACAAGAAAUGAAGAGAUGUACAAAACAUGCUGUGGGUGGGCUGAACCCAUUUCUUAUUAUUCCAUUGUUU